Long non-coding RNA from Sapajus apella (tufted capuchin), 325 nucleotides. RefSeq lists it as uncharacterized. The record is from RefSeq and is a predicted model, not a curated record. Lineage: Eukaryota; Metazoa; Chordata; Mammalia; Primates; Cebidae. The transcript has 3 exons.
UAUAUACACAUAUGAAAAUCCCAGUGAUAGGAGAAUGACUGAAGUUUGGAGUUUAAACACUGAGUUCAUGCAUUAGCUUUACAUGGGUUCUAAUCCCAGCUCCACCACCUCUAGCCGACUGACCGCGAGCUAAUGACUUAAGCUACCUCAACCUCAGUUUCCUCAUCUGGAAAAUGAGAAUAAGAAUAGUUCCUGCCUCCCAGUGUGUCACCAUGAGAACUAAAGGACCUAACACAGUACCUGGCACAUGCUGGGGGUUAACAAACGGUAGUAUUGCUACCUGUCACCAUCAUCACUUCAUACACGAAGGCUCAUGGAGAGGGUG